UGGUCUCUUUUAAAAGUCGGUGCAUGAGAAUAUUAUGCUACAACCAACCAACAAAAAGGGUUGCCUACUAAGUAUAUAAAAGCUAAAGAAUAUGCAAAGCAUGUAAUUUUUACGACGCAGGAGUUCGGGUUAAAGGGGUUCCCAACCGUGAAUAUUAAAUAAUAUAUACCGAUUUGAUUGGCCAAUAAAUGUUUUAACACACGACGCCAUCAAUUUACGUAAAUAUUUUGGAAAUAUACAGACGAUAUUUCGCAAUCCACGGCUCCUAGGAAAGUUUCUUGUAGUGUAACGUAAAGCGGGAAAUACGCGUUUAUGUAGUUAAAAAUU
This 327-nucleotide long non-coding RNA is filed under the name Mytilus galloprovincialis (Mediterranean mussel). The record is from RNAcentral. Lineage: Eukaryota; Metazoa; Mollusca; Bivalvia; Mytilida; Mytilidae.